Molecule: ribosomal RNA, 1035 nt
Filed under: Triticum aestivum (bread wheat)
Lineage: Eukaryota; Viridiplantae; Streptophyta; Magnoliopsida; Poales; Poaceae
Description: partial small subunit ribosomal RNA
Source: RNAcentral
AUGGCGCCGUCCAAGCAGUACGACGAGGGCGGGCAGCUCCAGCUCAUGGAGGCCGACCGGGUGGAGGAGGAGGAGGAGUGCUUCGAGUCCAUCGACAAGUUGAUCUCGCAGGGAAUAAACUCAGGAGACGUGAAGAAGCUGCAGGAUGCGGGGAUCUACACUUGCAAUGGGCUGAUGAUGCACACCAAGAAGAGCCUUACAGGGAUUAAGGGCUUGUCUGAAGCGAAGGUUGAUAAGAUCUGUGAGGCUGCUGAAAAACUUCUGAGUCAGGGUUUCAUGACAGGAAGUGAUCUCCUUAUUAAGCGAAAGUCUGUUGUCCGGAUUACCACUGGGAGCCAAACGCUUGAUGAGCUGCUUGGAGGAGGGAUUGAAACACUCUGUAUCACAGAGGCAUUUGGAGAGUUCCGGUCAGGGAAGACCCAGUUGGCUCAUACUCUUUGUGUCUCCACUCAGCUUCCACUCCACAUGCAUGGUGGGAACGGGAAGGUUGCCUACAUUGACACUGAGGGAACAUUCCGGCCUGAACGCAUUGUGCCAAUUGCUGAGAGAUUUGGGAUGGAUGCCAAUGCUGUUCUUGACAAUAUCAUAUAUGCUCGUGCCUACACCUAUGAGCACCAGUACAACUUACUCCUGGGCCUUGCUGCCAAGAUGGCUGAAGAGCCUUUCAGGCUUCUGAUCGUGGAUUCUGUGAUUGCGCUGUUCCGUGUUGAUUUCAGUGGUAGGGGUGAACUUGCAGAGCGUCAGCAAAAGCUGGCACAAAUGCUGUCCCGCCUUACAAAGAUUGCUGAGGAGUUCAAUGUUGCAGUGUACAUCACCAACCAAGUGAUUGCGGACCCAGGUGGUGGUAUGUUCAUCACUGACCCCAAAAAGCCGGCGGGAGGCCACGUGCUGGCGCAUGCAGCCACCAUCCGGUUGAUGCUGAGGAAAGGCAAAGGCGAGCAGCGUGUCUGCAAGAUCUUUGACGCCCCUAACCUUCCCGAGGGAGAAGCUGUUUUCCAGAUCACAACAGGCGGAUUGAUGGAUGUGAAAGACUGA